Molecule: long non-coding RNA, 768 nt
Organism: Cuculus canorus (common cuckoo)
Lineage: Eukaryota; Metazoa; Chordata; Aves; Cuculiformes; Cuculidae
Exons: 3
Source: RefSeq, a predicted model, not a curated record
GUUUUCUAGAUGAAUAAAAAUGAUAACAAUGAGCGCCAAACCUUCCCUUGGCUGCCUGCACUGCAAGGACACGGGGGGACCCUCGGGCCGGGGACGCCGCGAAGCCGCUUUCGGAGGGGGUCGAGAUUCGGUAAUAUCCAUCCCCUUUAACUUUGUUGUUUCUGAGAAAGGAGAUGGAAUACUCUCAAAAGCAGAGAAAUACACAUGCAGUAAGAAGUACAAUGUACACAUAUACGUGUACUGAAAAGUUAAGUGUCUGCAGAACAUUCAACCAUAAUUAAGGAUGAAAUCUCUUCUGAACUCCACUCUUUUUGGCUGCACGAGAUGACCUGCUGGUGGCUUCAUUUAAUGAGAAUCACCCCACAGAGCUUCUGUCUUCAUAGUUCUGGGAUGAAGAAAUAAAGAAUGCGAAAACUAUGAAUGCUGAGAAAGCUAACAUUUUUCUUAUUCCACUGAUUUACUAACCAAAUGUGGAAUGCUUGUCAUCUGGAGCAGGCCUAUGGUACUAUCUCAGCGGUAUGAUGUUAUGAAUGAAGAACUUAAUGAUAAUGGUUCCUAACAGUCUGCAGGCUGGUGGUGAUCCAUGGUUGCCUGGAUGCAGGAUCCAGUCAUUGGUUCAAUGUCAUUUUUUUCAUAUCACUCUUGGUGAGAGACACCCAGGUAUCUUCUGGUGAUGCCUUAAGCGUGGGUAUAUGUCUGUUACAUGUGGCUCAUUCUUUCUCCCAUUCUUCUUUUCCGUUGCUCCAUUUUGCUAGGGCUGAAUGCAGA